RNAcentral lists this ribosomal RNA (491 nucleotides) under uncultured bacterium. RNAcentral describes it as "partial 16S ribosomal RNA". It matches the Rfam family "Bacterial small subunit ribosomal RNA", at positions 29 to 507 of the family's 1533-position model. The record is from RNAcentral.
GUGAACGCUGGCGGUAGGCCUAACACAUGCAAGUCGAACGGCAGCACAGUAAGAGCUUGCUCUUACGGGUGGCGAGUGGCGGACGGGUGAGGAAUACAUCGGAAUCUACUUUUUCGUGGGGGAUAACGUAGGGAAACUUACGCUAAUUCCGCAUACGACCUACGGGUGAAAGCAGGGGAUCUUCGGACCUUGCGCGAUUGAAUGAGCCGAUGUCGGAUUAGCUAGUUGGCGGGGUAAAGGCCCACCAAGGCGACGAUCCGUAGCUGGUCUGAGAGGAUGAUCAGCCACACUGGAACUGAGACACGGUCCAGACUCCUACGGGAGGCAGCAGUGGGGAAUAUUGGACAAUGGGCGCAAGCCUGAUCCAGCCAUACCGCGUGGGUGAAGAAGGCCUUCGGGUUGUAAAGCCCUUUUGUUGGGAAAGAAAAGCAGCAGGUUAAUACCCCGCUGUUCUGACGGUACCCAAAGAAUAAGCACCGGCUAACUUCGUG